RNAcentral lists this ribosomal RNA (1366 nucleotides) under uncultured bacterium. RNAcentral describes it as "16S ribosomal RNA". It matches the Rfam family "Bacterial small subunit ribosomal RNA", at positions 8 to 1377 of the family's 1533-position model. The record is from RNAcentral.
AGAGUUUGAUCCUGGCUCAGGAUGAACGCUGGCGGCGUGCUUAACACAUGCAAGUCGAGCGAAGCACUUGAGAAUGAUUCUUCGGAUGACAUCUUUUGUGACUGAGCGGCGGACGGGUGAGUAACGCGUGGGUAACCUGCCUCAUACAGGGGGAUAACAGUUAGAAAUGACUGCUAAUACCGCAUAAGCGCACAGUGCCGCAUGGCACCGUGUGAAAAACUCCGGUGGUAUGAGAUGGACCCGCGUUGGAUUAGGCAGUUGGCGGGGUAACGGCCCACCAAACCGACGAUCCAUAGCCGGCCUGAGAGGGUGGACGGCCACAUUGGGACUGAGACACGGCCCAAACUCCUACGGGAGGCAGCAGUGGGGAAUAUUGCACAAUGGGGGAAACCCUGAUGCAGCGACGCCGCGUGAGUGAAGAAGUAAUUCGUUAUGUAAAGCUCUAUCAGCAGGGAAGAAAAUGACGGUACCUGACUAAGAAGCCCCGGCUAACUACGUGCCAGCAGCCGCGGUAAUACGUAGGGGGCAAGCGUUGUCCGGAAUUACUGGGUGUAAAGGGAGCGCAGGCGGGGGAGCAAGUCAGCUGUGAAAUCUAUGGGCUUAACCCAUAAACUGCAGUUGAAACUGUUCUUCUUGAGUGAAGUAGAGGUUGGCGGAAUUCCGAGUGUAGCGGUGAAAUGCGUAGAUAUUAGGAAGAACACCGGUGGCGAAGGCGGCCAACUGGGCUUUUACUGACGCUGAGGCUCGAAAGUGUGGGGAGCAAACAGGAUUAGAUACCCUGGUAGUCCACACUGUAAACGAUGAUAACUAGGUGUAGGGGGUCUGACCCCUUCUGUGCCGCAGCUAACGCAAUAAGUUAUCCACCUGGGGAGUACGACCGCAAGGUUGAAACUCAAAGGAAUUGACGGGGACCUGCACAAGCGGUGGAGCAUGUGGUUUAAUUCGAAGCAACGCGAAGAACCUUACCAGACCUUGACAUCCCUCUGAAUACGGUGUAAUGACUGUAGGCCUUCGGGGCAGAGGAGACAGGUGGUGCAUGGUUGUCGUCAGCUCGUGUCGUGAGAUGUUGGGUCAAGUCCCGCAACGAGCGCAACCCUUGUCCAUAGUAGCCAGCAGUAAGAUGGGAACUCUAUGGAGACUGCCGGGGAUAACCCGGAGGAAGGUGGGGAUGACGUCAAAUCAUCAUGCCCCUUACGGUCUGGGCUACACACGUGCUACAAUGGCGUAACAAAGGGAAGCGAGCCUGCGAAGGUAAGCAAACCCCAAAAAUAACGUCCCAGUUCGGACUGCAGUCUGCAACUCGACUGCACGAAGCUGGAAUCGCUAGUAAUCACGGAUCAGAAUGCCGCGGUGAAUACGUUCCCGG